GACCUAGACAGCAAUCGGGGC
Molecule: microRNA, 21 nt
Filed under: Marchantia polymorpha subsp. ruderalis
Lineage: Eukaryota; Viridiplantae; Streptophyta; Marchantiopsida; Marchantiales; Marchantiaceae
Source: RNAcentral